Molecule: ribosomal RNA, 866 nt
Filed under: uncultured bacterium
Lineage: Bacteria
Description: bacterial SSU rRNA
Rfam family: Bacterial small subunit ribosomal RNA
Source: RNAcentral
GACGAACGCUGGCGGCGUGCUUAACACAUGCAAGUCGAGCGGAAAGGCCCUUUCGGGGGUACUCGAGCGGCGAACGGGUGAGUAACACUGUGAGUAAUCUGCCCUUCACUUGGGGAUAACUACCGGAAACGGUGGCUAAUACCCGAUACGACGUAGUCUCGCAUGAGAUCUGCGUGGAAAGUUUUUUCGGUGGGGGAUGUGCUCGCGGCCUAUCAGCUUGUUGGUGGGGUAAUGGCCUACCAAGGCUUCGACGGGUAGCCGGCCUGAGAGGGUGACCGGCCACACUGGGACUGAGACACGGCCCAGACUCCUACGGGAGGCAGCAGUGGGGAAUAUUGGACAAUGGGCGAAAGCCUGAUCCAGCAACGCCGCGUGAGGGAUGACGGCCUUCGGGUUGUAAACCUCUUUCAGCGGGGACGAAGCGCCGGUAAUGGUGGUGACGGUACCCGCAGAAGAAGCACCGGCCAACUACGUGCCAGCAGCCGCGGUAAUACGUAGGGUGCGAGCGUUGUCCGGAAUUAUUGGGCGUAAAGGGCUCGUAGGCGGUUUGUCGCGUCGGGAGUGAAAACACCGGGCUUAACUCGGUGCUUGCUUUCGAUACGGGCAGACUAGAGGCAUGCAGGGGAGAACGGAAUUCCUGGUGUAGCGGUGAAAUGCGCAGAUAUCAGGAGGAACACCGGUGGCGAAGGCGGUUCUCUGGGCAUGUCCUGACGCUGAGGAGCGAAAGUGUGGGGAGCGAACAGGAUUAGAUACCCUGGUAGUCCACACCGUAAACGUUGGGCGCUAGGUGUGGGGCCUAUUCCAUGGGUUCCGUGCCGCAGCUAACGCAUUAAGCGCCCCGCCUGGGGAGUACGGCCGCAAGGCUA